UACGUAGGGGGCAAGCGUUGUCCGGAUUUAUUGGGCGUAAAGAGCGUGUAGGCGGCCACACAGGUCUGCUGUGAAAACUCGAGGCUCAACCUCGAGCUGUCGGUGGAAACCGUGUGGCUAGAGUCCGGAAGAGGAGAGUGGAAUUCCCGGUGUAGCGGUGAAAUGCGCAGAUAUCGGGGAAGAACACCCGUGGCGAAGGCGGCUCUCUGGGACGGUACUGACGCUGAGACGGCGAAAAGCGUGGGGAGCCGAACAGG
RNAcentral lists this ribosomal RNA (257 nucleotides) under uncultured bacterium. RNAcentral describes it as "partial 16S ribosomal RNA". It matches the Rfam family "Bacterial small subunit ribosomal RNA", at positions 524 to 776 of the family's 1533-position model. The record is from RNAcentral.